RNAcentral lists this ribosomal RNA (466 nucleotides) under uncultured bacterium. Its description in RNAcentral is "partial 16S ribosomal RNA". It matches the Rfam family "Bacterial small subunit ribosomal RNA", at positions 28 to 507 of the family's 1533-position model. The record is from RNAcentral.
GAUGAACGCUGGCGGCGUGCUUAACACAUGCAAGUCGAACGGAAAGGCCACAGCUUGCUGUGGUACUCGAGUGGUGAACGGGUGAGUAACACGUGGGUGAUCUGCCCUGUACUUCGGGAUAAGCUUGGGAAACUGGGUCUAAUACCGGAUAGGAAUCACAUGUGGGUGUGUGGUUGGAAAGCUUUUGCGGUAUGGGAUGAGCUCGCGGCCUAUCAGCUUGUUGGUGGGGUAAUGGCCUACCAAGGCGUCGACGGGUAGCCGGCCUGAGAGGGUGUACGGCCACAUUGGGACUGAGAUACGGCCCAGACUCCUACGGGAGGCAGCAGUGGGGAAUAUUGCACAAUGGGCGCAAGCCUGAUGCAGCGACGCCGCGUGGGGGAUGACGGCCUUCGGGUUGUAAACUCCUUUCGUCAGGGACGAAGCGAAAGUGACGGUACCUGGAUAAGAAGCACCGGCUAACUACGUG